AAUAUACUCCAUCCGUCCAGAAAUACUUAUCAGAUAAAUGGAUGUAUCUAAACGCAUUUUAGUGCUAGAUGUAUCAAUUUUUAUUCAUUUCUUCGACAAGUAUUUCCGGACGGAGGGAGUAUAAA
Molecule: non-coding RNA, 125 nt
Organism: Triticum aestivum (bread wheat)
Lineage: Eukaryota; Viridiplantae; Streptophyta; Magnoliopsida; Poales; Poaceae
Source: Rfam